Long non-coding RNA from Hibiscus syriacus, 944 nucleotides. RefSeq lists it as uncharacterized. Lineage: Eukaryota; Viridiplantae; Streptophyta; Magnoliopsida; Malvales; Malvaceae. The record is from RefSeq and is a predicted model, not a curated record. The transcript is spliced from 4 exons.
UACUAGGGUAUAUGUACCUUCAUUUGGAGUAGAAUAUAAAUCUCCUAUUCUAUUUUUAAAUUUUUUAUUUCAAAUUACCAAUGUAAGAGUUCAUGGUCCUUGAUUGUUACUAGCCUUCCAAUUACUUCAAUUGGAGAAGAAAUUCAGUAUAAGCAAUGAGUAGCUUUUGGUGCAAAUACUUAAAAGAGAAUUUUCUUUUGUUUAUAGCAAAACAACUUCAUGGUGAAGGUUCUAGUAAGAUGAUCAAUUCAAACUUUAAACCCGUGGCCAGUAAACAUGCUAGUAACAAAUACAGGAAUUCAGAAGAAUCAAGCAAUGAGGAAACAUGCUUGUUAGCAUAGUGUUCGGGGACUUAGAGAACUUGGCUUGACACCAAAUAUUCUUGCUUGUCGCAGUACAAUGGCACUUGAUGAUAAUGUCAAGUUAAAGCUCUCUCAGUUUUGCCAUGUUCCGGCCGAAAAUAUUGUCACUCUCUAUGACGUUCCAAAUAUGCUUAUGCUUGUUUUAUAUCUUAUUAUUAAAUCAUCCAUUGAACUUUGCCUGUCAAGCUCACUAUAUGUAUUUUCGUAAAUGUCCAGGACUCAUCAUGGCAUCAUGUGGGCAAUUGGAAUUGUUUUUAAACAAGUCUGAUCAUGUAAGCAACGGAGUGGCAAACGGGGUAAAUACCGAAAAAGCUUGACCGGAAAAGCAACGAAGUGCCUACAGCAGGUUAAGAGAAUAUGGAGCAAGAUGGUGUCCAAAACGUUCAAUUUAAUAUCAUGUGUGCUAUGAUAUCGGCUUUAAUUCAUUUAGAUUGCAAGAAGAGAAUGCACUAUCAACAAUACAAGACUUGGCAUUCCUUUGCAACUAUACCCAUCUACAGCAGAAGUGGGGAAAUUGGUGAAUAGUUUCUGCUUUUCUCUUUUAUUCUUAUUAUAUUGAUAAUCUAAUAUUUUCCAUAGAAU